GACGAACGCUGGCGGUGCGCUUAACCCAUGCAAGUCGAACGGAAAGGCCCUGCUUUCGUGGGGUGCUCGAGUGGCGAACGGGUGAGUACCACGUGAGUAACUUGCCCAUGACUCUCGGAUACCCUCCGUUAACUCGGGCUAAUACCGGCUUGCCGCUCCCGCUGCACGGUGGGCGUUGGAACGCUUCGGCGGUUGGGGAUGGACUCGCGGCUUAUCAGCUUGUUGGCGGGGUAGUGGCUUACCAAGGCUUUGACGGGUAGCCGGCCUGAGAGGGUGACCGGCCGCAUGGGGACUAAGGACCGGCCGAGUACCCAACGAGGGGCAACAGUGGAGAGAAGAGCACGGUAGGCGGACGCCGGAUGCCGCAGCGCGGCGUGCGGAAUAACUGCCUUCGGGGUGUAUUCCGCUCUCGCCUGAGACGAAGCGAGAGUGACGGUAACAGGUAAGGAAGCACCGGCUAACUACGUG
This 468-nucleotide ribosomal RNA is filed under the name uncultured bacterium. Its description in RNAcentral is "partial 16S ribosomal RNA". It matches the Rfam family "Bacterial small subunit ribosomal RNA", at positions 28 to 507 of the family's 1533-position model. The record is from RNAcentral.